Long non-coding RNA from Xiphophorus hellerii (green swordtail), 1568 nucleotides. RefSeq lists it as uncharacterized. The record is from RefSeq and is a predicted model, not a curated record. The transcript is spliced from 5 exons. Lineage: Eukaryota; Metazoa; Chordata; Actinopteri; Cyprinodontiformes; Poeciliidae.
UUUCUAUCCUACUUGAGAACUAAGUAGGACAGAAAUGAAAGUGACUGUUUUGAAAAUCCAAUAUAAUUUGACAGUAAAAUAAGAAACUGUGUUGAUUUGAACAAUUCAAACAACAACAACAAAAACAAACAGUGUCUUGAUAAUUGGAAAUUAAUUUCUCCUGUCUUGAAUAGACAACUCCUUUCAUGUGAACAUGUGAACUCCUUUCAGAAACAUGGCAUGAAGCUAUUUGCCUUUGGUCUGGUCUUCAAACUUUCUACCCCAAUUUUUUUCCCUCACAGAUCUGCUGUGUAUAGCACUGCAUGUGGUAGUAUUUUCUUCUUUUCAGACAGUGUCUUCAAGACAUUUGCCAGGUCAUCAUAAAGCUCCCACACAGAUGGAGUUCUCUGGCAGUAUGCAGUAUAAUGUCCCAGGCCAUCUUUGGUCAAGCUUCCCCUGAAAGCAAUGACUGCUCUCAAAGUAAGUGUUUUUCCUUGGAGAACCAUAAUGGAGGGAAAUUCACUCAAGGCGAAUUCAGUUGGAUUUGGAAGGUCACUGUCAAUCCAUGUUAUUUCUCCAAUGCUGUAGCUUGGUCGGAGGCAGGGAGACUGUGGGAGGAAGAGUCCUUUUUCUACUGAAGUGCCAAGCUGAGCCAUGCCAGAAUUCUUCAGGACAGAAAUGUCAGGUGAAACAAAUGUGGCAAUAUUGCACUGGGCAUCGAUUUGAUGAUGAAUCUGCAUGGAGCCAUUCAGUGCAGGAACUCAGAGCAAAUCCGCAUAUUUCCUUCGAUGAAGGAAAGAUGCCGAGAAAUGAAGCGAUCGACUCGCAUGGGUAAGUUCUCAUGUUUGAACAGGCCAUGUUUUACAUUUUUGAAUUCAGCUUCAACAUUGGCUGAGCUUGCCGUGAGGCUGGUGCUUUUGAAGAGUGGAACCAUUAUUCCUGUCCACAGUGGUAAGUAACUUGCAAGUCUUAUAAUGUGUGGCACAAUCUCAGGGAGGAAAUGGAUGUUAUCCCUAUCCCCAUUAGCUGCAGCGUGUGUCCUGCUCUCCUCACAAAUGUUUGACACCCAGUCUCGUAGGUCAGUCUGAAUGUCAUCACAUGGAUCCACUUGAUGCACUUCCUUUGUGUCUUCAUCUGGAAUGAGGAUGGAAUCUUCUGCAAUCUGGGCUUUCAGGUAUUUUUUGCACCUCUCUGAUUCAAGAGGGGUUCCAGAACUAUCAUCACCUUCUGCCUCACUGAGAGCCACAACAGUGAUGGCAUGUAUUAACUGCUUUGCAUGGUCCAAGCUUUGUGCUUGAAGAAGCUUUGCUAUUCCCCUGACAAAGAAGUCUUUGACACGGUGUGACUUGUUUUUCAUGCAGUCCCACUGGCAGACCAUCUUUAUGCAGUGGGCAACAUCAACCCUGAUGUAACAGGGAGGAAGUUUUGCAGACUGGUUCCCAAGUAGCACACGGAAGCAUUCAUCAAUGUAUGACUUCAGGUUAGAAAGAGGAGUGAAGGCCUUCACCAGAGCACCAAGAAUAGCCAGGGAAAAGUCACUCACAGCUUCCCUUGGUACAGCUGCGCCUGCACGAAGCCAUUCUGUCAGC